This 905-nucleotide ribosomal RNA is filed under the name uncultured bacterium. RNAcentral's name for it is "bacterial SSU rRNA". It matches the Rfam family "Bacterial small subunit ribosomal RNA", at positions 9 to 917 of the family's 1533-position model. The record is from RNAcentral.
GAGUUUGAUCCUGGCUCAGAACGAACGCUGGCGGCGUGCCUAACACAUGCAAGUCGAACGAGAAAGGGACUUCGGUCCUGAGUAGAGUGGCGCACGGGUGAGUAACACGUGGAUAACCUGCCCUGAAGUCUGGGAUAACAUUUCGAAAGGGAUGCUAAUACCGGAUAAGCCUACGACCUCUUCGGGGGAUGUAGGAAAAGAUUUAUUGCUUCAGGAUGGGUCCGCGGUCCAUUAGCUAGUUGGUAGGGUAAUGGCCUACCAAGGCUUCGAUGGAUAGCUGGUCUGAGAGGAUGAUCGGCCACACUGGAACUGAGACACGGUCCAGACUCCUACGGGAGGCAGCAGUGGGGAAUUUUGCGCAAUGGACGAAAGUCUGACGCAGCAACGCCGCGUGAAGGAUGAAGGCCCUUGGGUCGUAAACUUCUGUCAGUGGGGAAGAAAUGCCCACAAGGGAGCUGACGGUACCCACAAAGGAAGCACCGGCUAACUCCGUGCCAGCAGCCGCGGUAAUACGGAGGGUGCAAGCGUUGUUCGGAAUUAUUGGGCGUAAAGCGCGUGUAGGCGGUCUGUUAAGUCUGGUGUGAAAGCCCUGGGCUCAACCCAGGAAGUGCAUUGGAUACUGGCAGACUUGAGUAUGGGAGAGGAAAGCGGAAUUCCGAGUGUAGGAGUGAAAUCCGUAGAUAUUCGGAGGAACACCAGUGGCGAAGGCGGCUUUCUGGACCAAUACUGACGCUGAGACGCGAAAGCGUGGGGAGCAAACAGGAUUAGAUACCCUGGUAGUCCACGCCGUAAACGAUGAGCAUUAGGUGCAGCGGAUAUUGACCUCUGCUGUGCCGUAGCUAACGCGUUAAAUGCUCCGCCUGGGGAGUACGGCCGCAAGGCUAAAACUCAAAGGAAUUGACGGG